AACGAACGCUGGCGGCAUGCCUAACACAUGCAAGUCGAACGAGACCUUCGGGUCUAGUGGCGCACGGGUGCGUAACGCGUGGGAACCUGCCCUUAGGUUCGGAAUAACUCCCCGAAAGGGGUGCUAAUACCGGAUAAUGUCUUCGGACCAAAGAUUUAUCGCGUUUGGAUGGGCGCGCGUUGGCUUAGCUAGUUGGUAGGGUAAAAGCCUACCAAGGCGACGAUCCAUAGCUGGGCUGAGAGGAUGAGCAGCCACACUGGGACUGAGACACGGUCCAGACUCUUACGGGAGGCAGCAGUGGGGAAUAUUGGACAGUGGGGGAAAGCCUGAUCCAGCAAUGACGCGUGAGUGAUGAAGGCCGUAGGGUUGUAAAGCUCUUUUACCCGGGAUGAUAAUGACAGUACCGGGAGAAUAAGCUCCGGCUAACUCCGUG
Molecule: ribosomal RNA, 433 nt
Filed under: uncultured bacterium
Lineage: Bacteria
Description: partial 16S ribosomal RNA
Rfam family: Bacterial small subunit ribosomal RNA
Source: RNAcentral